GACGAACGCUGGCGGCGUGCUUAACACAUGCAAGUCGAACGGAAAGGCCCUGCUUUUGUGGGGUGCUCGAGUGGCGAACGGGUGAGUAACACGUGAGUAACCUGCCCUUGACUUUGGGAUAACUUCAGGCAACUGGGGCUAAUACCGGAUAGGAGCUCCUGCUGCAUGGUGGGGGUUGGAAAGUUUCGGCGGUUGGGGAUGGACUCGCGGCUUAUCAGCUUGUUGGUGGGGUAGUGGCUUACCAAGGCUUUGACGGGUAGCCGGCCUGAGAGGGUGACCGGCCACAUUGGGACUGGAAUACGGCCCAGACUCCUACGGGAGGCAGCAGGGGGGAAUUUUUCACAAUGGGCGGAAGCCUGAUGCAGCAACGCCGCGUGCGGGAUGACGGCCUUCGGGGUGUAAACCGCUUUCGCCUGUGACGAAGCGUGAGUGACGGUAAUGGGUAAAGAAGCACCGGCUAACUACGUG
Molecule: ribosomal RNA, 468 nt
Filed under: uncultured bacterium
Lineage: Bacteria
Description: partial 16S ribosomal RNA
Rfam family: Bacterial small subunit ribosomal RNA
Source: RNAcentral